RNAcentral lists this transfer RNA (73 nucleotides) under Parcubacteria group bacterium. RNAcentral's name for it is "tRNA-Thr". It matches the Rfam family "tRNA". From Rfam's summary of the family: Transfer RNA (tRNA) molecules are approximately 80 nucleotides in length. Their secondary structure includes four short double-helical elements and three loops (D, anti-codon, and T loops). The record is from RNAcentral.
GCCAAGAUAGCUCAGUUGGUAGAGCACACCCAUGGUAAGGGUGAGGUCCCGGGUUCAAACCCCGGUCUUGGCU